GACGAACGCUGGCGGCGUGCUUAACACAUGCAAGUCGAACGGGUCUGCCCUGUUUUUUGCGGGGUGGGUCAGUGGCGAACGGGUGAGUAACACGUGAGUAACCUGCCCCUCACUUCUGGAUAACCGCUUGAAAGGGUGGCUAAUACGGGGUGUUCUGGCUGUGCCGCAUGGUGUGGCUGGGAAAGAUUCACUUUUGUGGUGUUUUGGUGGGGGAUGGGCUCGCGGCCUAUCAGCUUGUUGGUGGGGUGAUGGCCCGCCAAGGGUUUGACGGGUAGCCGGCCGGAGAGGGUGGGCGGUCCAACUGGGACUGAGCUACCGGCCGGACUCCUGAGGGAGCCAGCAGUGGGAGGUAUUGCACGAUGGGCAGAAGGCUGAUGAAGCGACGUCGCGUGAGGGAUGGAGGCCUUCGGGUUGUGAACCUCUUUCGCCGGUGAAGAAGGUCCUGCUCUUUGUGGUGGGGUUGACAGUAGCCGGGUUAUGAAGCGCCGGCUAACUACGUG
RNAcentral lists this ribosomal RNA (500 nucleotides) under uncultured bacterium. RNAcentral describes it as "partial 16S ribosomal RNA". It matches the Rfam family "Bacterial small subunit ribosomal RNA", at positions 28 to 507 of the family's 1533-position model. The record is from RNAcentral.